UACGACUACAUAUCAGGCAUAUCAAUAAGCGGAGGAAAAGAAACUAACAAGGAUUCCCCUAGUAACGGCGAGUGAAGCGGGAAGAGCUCAAAUUUGAAAUCUUAAAGGGUUUCCCUUUACGAAUUGUAGUUUAAAGAAGUGUUUUCUGUUGGUAGUUUUGGUAAAAGUUCUUUGGAAUAGGACAUCAUAGAGGGUGAGAAUCCCGUAUUUGACCAUUACUUUCCAGCUGUUGUGAUACACUUUCAAAGAGUCGGAUUGUUUGGGAAUGCAGUCCAAAAUGGGUGGUAAAUUUCAUCUAAAGCUAAAUAUUGGCGAGAGACCGAUAGCGAACAAGUACCGUGAGGGAAAGAUGAAAAGAACUUUGAAAAGAGAGUUAAACAGUACGUGAAAUUGUCAAAAGGGAAGCGUUUGACACCAGUGUUGUUUUUCCGAAAAUCAAUUACGAAUGUUUUAUUUUUGAGGAGUUAUGACUUCAUCGGCUUGCUCCUUUCUUUACGAAACUUUCUUAAUGCACUUUUCGGUUAACAAGUCAACAUCAAUUUCUUUUGUUGUAAAAGGGUCAUUGGAAGGUGGCUUUCACUUCGGUGAAAGUGUUUAUAGCCUUUGGCUUCUACAAUCGGAGAGAUUGAGGUCUGCAGCGUAGAUCCUUCGGGGUUAGAUACGUAGAUGCUAAGUUAUAGUUUUUCAUAGACAACAUGUUGACUAUGAUUAAUCAUGUAGCUUACUCGCUUAUGUUAUUUUACCUACGCUUAGGAUGUUGAAUCUGUGCGAGACUAC
RNAcentral lists this ribosomal RNA (777 nucleotides) under uncultured Neocallimastigales. RNAcentral's name for it is "partial large subunit ribosomal RNA". It matches the Rfam family "Eukaryotic large subunit ribosomal RNA", at positions 24 to 644 of the family's 3401-position model. Lineage: Eukaryota; Fungi; Neocallimastigomycota; Neocallimastigomycetes; Neocallimastigales. The record is from RNAcentral.